Molecule: unclassified non-coding RNA, 336 nt
Filed under: soil metagenome
Description: partial contains 5.8S ribosomal RNA, internal transcribed spacer 2, and large subunit ribosomal RNA
Rfam family: 5.8S ribosomal RNA (bases 1-120)
Source: RNAcentral
GAUGAAGAACGCAGUGAAAUGCGAUAAGUAAUGUGAAUUGCAGAAUUCAGUGAAUCAUCGAAUCUUUGAACGCACAUUGCGCCCGCCAGUAUUCUGGCGGGCAUGCCUGUUCGAGCGUCAUUUCAACCAUCAAGCCCCAGGCUUGUGUUGGGGACCCGCGGCUGCCGCAGGCCCUGAAAACCAGUGGCGGGCUCGCUGUCACACCGGGCGUAGUAGAUUUUAUCUCGCUCAGGGCGUGCUGCGGGUUCCGGCCGUUAAAAAGCCUUUUUUACCCAAGGUUGACCUCGGAUCAGGUAGGAAGACCCGCUGAACUUAAGCAUAUCAAUAAGCGGAGGA